GCACUCCUGAAGGUUAGCGGCGGACGGGUGAGUAAACGUAGGCGACCUGCCCUCAAGACUGGGAUAACUACCGUGAAACGGUAGCUAAUACCGGAUAAUUUAUUUCACAGCUAUUGUGGAAAUAAUGAAAGACGGAGCAGUCCUCUCACUUGUGGAUGGGCCUGCGGCGCAUUAUGCUAGUUGGUGGGGUAACGGCCCACCAAGGCCACGAUGCGUAACCGACCUGAGAGGGUGAACGGCCACACUGGAACUGAAACACGGGCCAGACUCCUACAGGAGGCACCAUUAGGGAAUCUUCCCAAUGGGCCAAAGCCUGACGGAUCAACGCCUCGUGAGUGAUGAAGGUUUUCGGAUCGUAAAGCUCUGUUGCCAAGGAAGAACGUCUUCUAGAGUAACUGCUAGGAGAGUGACGGUACUUGAGAAGAAAGCCCCGGCUAACUACGUGCCAGCAUCCGCGGUAAUACGUAGGGGGCAAGCGUUGUCCGGAAUUAUUGGGCGUACAGGGCGCGCAGGCCGUUCUUUGAGUCUGGUGUUUAAACCCGAGGCUCAUCUUCGGGUCACACUGGAAACUGGGGGACUUGAGUGCAGAACAGGAGAGUGGAAUUCCACCUGUAGCGGUGAAAUGCCUAUAUAUAUGGACGAACACCUGUGGCGAAAGCCACUCUCUGGGCUGUAACUGACACUCACGCGCGAAAGCCUGCGGAGCCAACAGGAUCAGAUACCCUGGUAGUCCACGCCGUAUACGAUGAAUGCUAGGUGUUAGGGGUUUCCAUACCCUUGGUGCCGAAGUUAACGCAUUAAGCAUUCCGCCUGGGGAGUACGGUCGCAAGACUGAAACUCAAAGGAAUUGACGGGGACCCGCACAAGCAGUGGAGUAUGUGGUUUAAUUCGAAGCAACGCGAAGAACCUUACCAAGUCUUGACAUCCCUCUGA
Molecule: ribosomal RNA, 933 nt
Filed under: Paenibacillus lautus
Lineage: Bacteria; Bacillati; Bacillota; Bacilli; Caryophanales; Paenibacillaceae
Description: bacterial SSU rRNA
Rfam family: Bacterial small subunit ribosomal RNA
Source: RNAcentral